This is a long non-coding RNA of Erpetoichthys calabaricus (reedfish), 857 nucleotides long. RefSeq lists it as uncharacterized. The transcript has 3 exons. The record is from RefSeq and is a predicted model, not a curated record. NCBI's taxonomy places the organism in Eukaryota, Metazoa, Chordata, Cladistia, Polypteriformes, Polypteridae.
AGGAGACAGGCUGAUGGGUGCGGAGCUCUAGCAACUUCCUUGUUGAAUUGUACGGCUCUGUUUAGACGUUUAAGACUCGAUCGCAUUUCUGUCACACUGAGCUGCUAAAGGUUGGGCUUAGGGUUGUGGCGCCUUCCUUGCGGGCUUGUUGGAUAAUUCGGAAGGUCCCAAAAUGUGGGUGUCACAGUAGAGUAGCUGUCAUGGACCUAUGUCGAGUGCGCGUGUCUAAAGGACGAAAAGUGAGGCAUGGACUGGCGGCAUGUCGAGAGUUGUUCGGCACCGAACCGCCCAUCCUGCACCCGAGAAAUGGGUGGGAACGGUCAGGAACGCGCGUUCUGAUACUUGUAAAUGCUACAUUCAUCGUUCCAUCGCAUCUUUUGCCGUUCCUUUACUUUCUGACCCUCGAUGGUACGCGGAGAGCUGGUCAUACAUCUUUCUGUUUAAAAUUUGAAACUUCUUAUUUAUUAUUUCUCAGAUUCAUGGAGGAUACGACUGGCAAAUUUUGAUAAGGUGUGACUUGGAGGAGUUCAGACUUGGUAAAUGAGCUUACUCAGUUGUAAAUGUCCAGAAGUGAUCAGUAUAAAUAAACAGAUUUUUUUUGGCUCAAGGCGGGAGUUUAGCUUUUUAUAGAAGCUCAGGAAAUAUUCAAACAACACAAAACCCCCAUAAAUACGCAAAAAAAUAAUAAGAAGAAAACUUCUGACUUGGCUAAAAGAUAAGAGAGCAAUAUCAGGGAGGUGCUAUAAGGGCGAAUGGCCAUAGGUGUGAAGGUGCACCUCUGUUGACUAAAAGCUCUCAAUGGUGGUUUGUCAGGGAGAAAGUGUCACGUUAUUCAUAAUGGCUGUCUGUCUGGUCUU